GGCUCACUGGUGUUACGUGGCAAGACGCUGGAAAGGUGGAGCUAAUUGAAGGGUCAUCCUACCUUGGCCAACCACUUCCAUUUUCCAUAACCACAUUGAUAUGGAUUGAGGUCAUAGUCAUUGGAUACAUAGAGUUCCAAAGGAAUGCUGAGCUUGACCCGGAAAAGAGGCUCUACCCGGGUGGAAAAUUCUUCGACCCGCUUGGUUUGGCCUCGGACCCAGAGAAGAAGGCAACCCUCCAAUUGGCGGAGAUCAAGCAUGCCCGCCUUGCCAUGGUAGCCUUCCUAGGUUUUGCCGUCCAAGCUGCUGUCACCGGCAAAGGGCCACUCAACAACUGGGCGACCCAUUUGAGUGACCCGCUCCACACAACCAUUAUAGACACCUUUUUCUCUUGAGCUCUUUUUUUGUCUAU
RNAcentral lists this unclassified non-coding RNA (412 nucleotides) under Hevea brasiliensis (rubber tree). Lineage: Eukaryota; Viridiplantae; Streptophyta; Magnoliopsida; Malpighiales; Euphorbiaceae. The record is from RNAcentral.